CGCGUAGGCGGUCUGCUAAGUUCCGUGUGAAAUCCCUCGGCUCAACUGGGGGAACGGCACGGAAAACUGGAAGGCUUGAGUUCGGGAGAGGGAAGCGGAAUUCCGGGUGUAGCGGUGAAACGCGUAGAUAUCCGGAGGAACACCGGUGGCGAAGGCGGCUUCCUGGACCGACACUGACGCUGAGGCGCGAAAGCUAGGGGAGCAAACG
This 208-nucleotide ribosomal RNA is filed under the name uncultured bacterium. RNAcentral's name for it is "partial 16S ribosomal RNA". It matches the Rfam family "Bacterial small subunit ribosomal RNA", at positions 568 to 774 of the family's 1533-position model. The record is from RNAcentral.